AAGGCAAAGCCGCGAGGCAGAGCGAAUCUCAAAAAGCCGUCCCAGUUCGGAUUGCAGGCUGCAACCCGCCUGCAUGAAGUUGGAAUCGCUAGUAAUCGCAGAUCAGAAUGCUGCGGUGAAUACGUUCCCGGGUCUUGUACACACCGCCCGUCACACCAUGGGAGUUGGAAAUGCCCGAAGCCAGUGACCCAACCGUAAGGAGGGAGCUGUCGAAGGUGGAGCCGAUGACUGGGGUGAAGUCGUAACAAGGUACC
This 254-nucleotide ribosomal RNA is filed under the name uncultured bacterium. RNAcentral describes it as "partial 16S ribosomal RNA". It matches the Rfam family "Bacterial small subunit ribosomal RNA", at positions 1246 to 1500 of the family's 1533-position model. The record is from RNAcentral.